Meleagris gallopavo (turkey) is the source of this 744-nucleotide non-coding RNA. Lineage: Eukaryota; Metazoa; Chordata; Aves; Galliformes; Phasianidae. The record is from RefSeq and is a predicted model, not a curated record.
GUACACUCUUUGAAGCAGAGCUGAUGAGGUAUUUUUUGGAGCCUUUUAGAAGGAAGAGGCUGUCAGGCACCAGAGGAGCUGGUGGAGCAGGGAGAGAUGGCAGUGCCACAAGCACAUACACAGGCAACAAGAAUGGAAAAUUCUGGUCCUUGAUAAUGCAGUAAAGACUGAAAAACACCGGAAUCCCACUACCACAGGCAGUGACAAGCAAGUACAGCUCAGACCUGUUCUGCACAAGUCUCCCGGCCUGGCUACUCCUGAAGGAAACGUACUGCUAUUGGCUGCUCUUACGACUUAACAGUGCCUAUUUUUAUUCACUUCAGAAGCAGCCUUUGAAAGAACUGACAGACGAAAUAAUUAAAAUACUGAUUUUACUGUGCAAUUACAGUGAGAAAUGAAUUUGAGUGUUGAAUAAUUCUAGACUUCAAUUACAAAGCGGGAGGGUUGUGAGCACAGCACAACAACAGCCACGAGGUGACGAAUACUUUGAGAAUGUCCGGUAUUUUUAUUGGAAGAAAGAAAGCAGUAUCUGAAGGUCACGCACAGCUCCUGGGAGCCACCCACGGCUGAUCUACAGCUGCUGCGGAGCGGGACAGCUGCUGGGCCCCAGGUUCGGAUGCCGCGCCCCCGUCUCCUUCGUGGUAGCUCGUGAUAGCGGCGCUGCUCCCACAAGCUGCAACCCGCCGCUGCCCGCCGCUUUUAGUUCGGGAGAGCCGCGAAGGAGCGCUUAGGAACGCAUAGGAG